GAGAAACUUAUGAUGAUAGAAAUUCAUAGUAAACAUACUAACAAUACCUCAAUUCCUGAUGGAUUGUUUCAAGCAAAAUCAUCCUCAUCAAGUUACUUCGAUUGACAAAUCCCUCGCAACCUCUAUGAUAGACAAAUAUCUAACCCAGUAAUUAACGCUCCUAGAUCCAACAAAAGCAUAUAUUAAUCUUUUUAGAGCCAGUAGUCUGACACGAUUGACAAAUCCCUCGCAACCUCUAUGAUAGACAAAUAUCUAACCCAGUAAUUAACGCUCCUAGAUCCAACAAAUGCAUAUAUUAAUCUUUUUAGAGCCAGUAGUCUGACAUGAGUGCCAGGAAUUAAACUUGAAAAGAGGCCAGUGACUUGUUUAGAAAAAAAAUGAAGUACAUGCAUGGCCAACACAAGAUUAUUAGACUUUAAUCAUGAAUAAAGCUCUAUUUCCUGAAAAAUUGUGAUGACAUACAUACACUGGAGGAACGAAAAAGUAAACUUAACCAAUAUCAAAAUGUGUUGACACGUUUUGAUAACACAUGUUUUGUCUUAGUUGCCAAAACAUCUUUGCAAAGACCUAAUGUGAGGGACAGACAUGGAUCAAACACAUGAAGCAUGGUAUCACCCAUUAUCAUCGCAUUGACAAUUUCAAAGGACACACCAUGUGUAAAAACAAUAAAGCAAAUUUAAGACGAGAUCGCUCCGACAGUAAUAAAGAACGUGACAUCUUGCAAACAUGUUGAUUCCCAUAUAUGCACCUGAUUAGAUAUAUACAUAAACAUAAACAUUAAACAUGUCAUUAAUAAUUAUUCAAACAAAAACAUCUCUGGAUACUAUCCAUGGAAAUGCCAAAUCCUAUGUGCAAGAGAUCUACAAUUGACACUGGAAGUAAAUCUUUUGAACAUGUUGCACACCAUUGCAACAAUCUACUGUACAGCCAGCAAAAAUUUCCAAUACGAUGAAUGUAUACACCAACAAGAUUCAAAGGAAACUUCUAUUUAUACAUGAAGUGUUUUCUAAACAUGCUAAAAAUACAACCAUACUUUGGCAUAUUAUUUCAACUAAAACUAUCAUCAUUAAUAACUUUGAUCGGCUUAUAAUUCCUCCCUACCACAAUAUGCUGGAUAAACUUCUUAACGACCAAUUAACACUCCCAGAUUCAAAUGCUGCCUAAAAUAAUCGUUUGUAUGGAGAAAUUCAACAUGAUAAGGAGCAGUGGUGAGUUAAAAAAAAAUUGAAAUCAAUGCAGAAAAUUUGUUAAGAAUCAAGCAAAAAUCAUAUAUAUGCAGAAAAACUAAAAGACUCUGUUAGUCUAAGGGUGACAACAAACAGUGUGACAGCAUCCAGAGGCAACACAAUUUGUAUACUUCUACAGAAUCAAGACUCUGUUGCCUAAGAGUGAAGACACAGAAAGUGAUUGCUUAAAUAUUUCUUCCAUUUCAAACAUCACAUGUUUUAGGCAAUAAUAACUAAAUCAACAUGGUUCAUGUCGACCAUUGCUAACAGAGUAUUACACUGAAACUAUUGAGUGGAGUAACAAAAGGGAUUCCUAUAAAUCUGAUUCAGCUCCUAAUGAAUAGAACAACCUUUGGAGCAAAUGGAUACUUUAGAUAGGAUAAUCCUGGUCUAAACCUAUUAAAUCCUUAAUAAGCUUGGAAAAAUAAAAACAAUUCUACAACAUUAAUUGAUGCUCCCAGGUUCAUGCCCAAGCUUUAUUUCAACAAAAUGCAAAAACAGAAGGGUUUUUGAUGCUCCCGGGCAAAAUGCUACCUUAAACAAUCACUUGAGCAAAUAGACUAAACUCCAACAUGGGUGCCAAAAUUAGGCUUGGAGAAAGGCAGCUGCUGGAAGUGGACGCAGACUGAACUCCAACAUAAGUGCCAUAACUCUAGAUCUAAUAACAAUAAUAAUAAAUAGGGAAGGUUCAGAUUCGCUACUUGUUCAUCACGGGGAGAAACGAUCUUGCAUUUCUCCGUUUUCUCAGCGGAGGAGAAGUGAUGUUGCAUCUUCUCCUCUCUUAUCAGCGGAGGAGAAGCGAUCUGGUUUUUUCUUCUCUCUUCCACCGAAUCCCAUCCAAAGAGUUAAACAUGGCUGCUGCGGUUCCCAUGCCGACCAUCCAAGCUGCCCCACCAUCGCCUUAUAACGACCAGAAAACGAAACAUCGAAGAGAAGAUACAAUUGAUUUAAGAUCUAUGUUGAGGGCCAUAUAUAAUCAUAAGAAUCAUGAGUUCACCAUCACCAAAGGCGACUGAUCCAAGAUCGCGCGCGCCAACAGUGUUCGUCAUCAUCGGCUUCUCACAUAUCAAAACCAAUAUAGAUUUACAGAGAUCCAUAAACCACAACCAACAGAGAUAGAGAUAAAGCGAUCAAGAAAAGAAGAAAAAACGUGGAGUAAAUUAGAGGAAAAAACCUUCGGCGUCGGAGAGAAAAGAAAUAGAGGAAGGGAAGAGGGAAACCUUUCCGUAGCGCCAUUUCCCGCUCUGUCCCCAAGACGAAGCAUGGCCUCAUGAACUACCUGGAAGACCUACAGAAUUUGAAUGCGCCACGCCUCGGCCCAAGGUGUUUCCAUGCGACGGCACCGACCUUGACCGGGCCGGUCUGCAAAAGAUGUUUCUCGA
This 2608-nucleotide long non-coding RNA is filed under the name Musa acuminata (dwarf banana). Its description in RNAcentral is "long non-coding RNA (MACU_LNC006000)". The record is from RNAcentral. Lineage: Eukaryota; Viridiplantae; Streptophyta; Magnoliopsida; Zingiberales; Musaceae.